Molecule: transfer RNA, 72 nt
Filed under: Camelus ferus (Wild Bactrian camel)
Lineage: Eukaryota; Metazoa; Chordata; Mammalia; Artiodactyla; Camelidae
Rfam family: tRNA
About the family: Transfer RNA (tRNA) molecules are approximately 80 nucleotides in length. Their secondary structure includes four short double-helical elements and three loops (D, anti-codon, and T loops).
Source: Rfam by way of RNAcentral
AAGGCUAUAGCUCAGUGGUAGAGGAUGUGCUUAGCACGCACGAGGUCCUGGGUUCAUUCCCCAGUAGCUCCA